UACGAAGGGGGCUAGCGUUGCUCGGAAUCACUGGGCGUAAAGGGUGCGUAGGCGGGUCUUUAAGUCAGGGGUGAAAUCCUGGAGCUCAACUCCAGAACUGCCUUUGAUACUGAGGAUCUUGAGUUCGGGAGAGGUGAGUGGAACUGCGAGUGUAGAGGUGAAAUUCGUAGAUAUUCGCAAGAACACCAGUGGCGAAGGCGGCUCACUGGCCCGAUACUGACGCUGAGGCGCGAAAGCGUGGGGAGCGAUCCGG
RNAcentral lists this ribosomal RNA (253 nucleotides) under uncultured bacterium. RNAcentral describes it as "partial 16S ribosomal RNA". It matches the Rfam family "Bacterial small subunit ribosomal RNA", at positions 524 to 776 of the family's 1533-position model. The record is from RNAcentral.